This 177-nucleotide microRNA precursor is filed under the name Oryza sativa (Asian cultivated rice). RNAcentral's name for it is "miR2097 stem-loop (osa-MIR2097)". The record is from miRBase by way of RNAcentral. Lineage: Eukaryota; Viridiplantae; Streptophyta; Magnoliopsida; Poales; Poaceae.
GUGGGGAAGAGAUGGGACGGGCAGGGAAGGAAGUAGAUGGAUAGAGUUUGGGGAUAGGAGGGAAGGGGAUAGAUUUGGUUGUUUUUCGGAAAAAAAAAAACCUUGUGUUUUUCAUGUUUACAGUGCUGCCCCUAAGAGCAGAAUUUUCUCUUCUUCGUGUCGCAUUUCUUUAAAAGC